UUAAGCGACUAAGCGUACACGGUGGAUGCCCUGGCAGUCAGAGGCGAUGAAGGACGUGCUAAUCUGCGAUAAGCGUCGGUAAGGUGAUAUGAACCGUUAUAACCGGCGAUUUCCGAAUGGGGAAACCCAGUGUGAUUCGUCACACUAUCAUUAACUGAAUCCAUAGGUUAAUGAGGCGAACCGGGGGAACUGAAACAUCUAAGUACCCCGAGGAAAAGAAAUCAACCGAGAUUCCCCCAGUAGCGGCGAGCGAACGGGGAGGAGCCCAGAGCCUGAAUCAGUGUGUGUGUUAGUGGAAGCGUCUGGAAAGGCGCGCGAUACAGGGUGACAGCCCCGUACACAAAAAUGCACAUGCUGUGAGCUCGAUGAGUAGGGCGGGACACGUGGUAUCCUGUCUGAAUAUGGGGGGACCAUCCUCCAAGGCUAAAUACUCCUGACUGACCGAUAGUGAACCAGUACCGUGAGGGAAAGGCGAAAAGAACCCCGGCGAGGGGAGUGAAAAAGAACCUGAAACCGUGUACGUACAAGCAGUGGGAGCCUCUUUUAUGGGGUGACUGCGUACCUUUUGUAUAAUGGGUCAGCGACUUAUAUUCUGUAGCAAGGUUAACCGAAUAGGGGAGCCGAAGGGAAACCGAGUCUUAACCGGGCGUUAAGUUGCAGGGUAUAGACCCGAAACCCGGUGAUCUAGCCAUGGGCAGGUUGAAGGUUGGGUAACACUAACUGGAGGACCGAACCGACUAAUGUUGAAAAAUUAGCGGAUGACUUGUGGCUGGGGGUGAAAGGCCAAUCAAACCGGGAGAUAGCUGGUUCUCCCCGAAAGCUAUUUAGGUAGCGCCUCGUGAAUUCAUCUCCGGGGGUAGAGCACUGUUUCGGCAAGGGGGUCAUCCCGACUUACCAACCCGAUGCAAACUGCGAAUACCGGAGAAUGUUAUCACGGGAGACACACGGCGGGUGCUAACGUCCGUCGUGAAGAGGGAAACAACCCAGACCGCCAGCUAAGGUCCCAAAGUCAUGGUUAAGUGGGAAACGAUGUGGGAAGGCCCAGACAGCCAGGAUGUUGGCUUAGAAGCAGCCAUCAUUUAAAGAAAGCGUAAUAGCUCACUGGUCGAGUCGGCCUGCGCGGAAGAUGUAACGGGGCUAAACCAUGCACCGAAGCUGCGGCAGCGACACUGUGUGUUGUUGGGUAGGGGAGCGUUCUGUAAGCCUGUGAAGGUGUGCUGUGAGGCAUGCUGGAGGUAUCAGAAGUGCGAAUGCUGACAUAAGUAACGAUAAAGCGGGUGAAAAGCCCGCUCGCCGGAAGACCAAGGGUUCCUGUCCAACGUUAAUCGGGGCAGGGUGAGUCGACCCCUAAGGCGAGGCCGAAAGGCGUAGUCGAUGGGAAACAGGUUAAUAUUCCUGUACUUGGUGUUACUGCGAAGGGGGGACGGAGAAGGCUAUGUUGGCCGGGCGACGGUUGUCCCGGUUUAAGCGUGUAGGCUGGUUUUCCAGGCAAAUCCGGAAAAUCAAGGCUGAGGCGUGAUGACGAGGCACUACGGUGCUGAAGCAACAAAUGCCCUGCUUCCAGGAAAAGCCUCUAAGCAUCAGGUAACAUCAAAUCGUACCCCAAACCGACACAGGUGGUCAGGUAGAGAAUACCAAGGCGCUUGAGAGAACUCGGGUGAAGGAACUAGGCAAAAUGGUGCCGUAACUUCGGGAGAAGGCACGCUGAUAUGUAGGUGAAGUCCCUCGCGGAUGGAGCUGAAAUCAGUCGAAGAUACCAGCUGGCUGCAACUGUUUAUUAAAAACACAGCACUGUGCAAACACGAAAGUGGACGUAUACGGUGUGACGCCUGCCCGGUGCCGGAAGGUUAAUUGAUGGGGUCAGCGCAAGCGAAGCUCUUGAUCGAAGCCCCGGUAAACGGCGGCCGUAACUAUAACGGUCCUAAGGUAGCGAAAUUCCUUGUCGGGUAAGUUCCGACCUGCACGAAUGGCGUAAUGAUGGCCAGGCUGUCUCCACCCGAGACUCAGUGAAAUUGAACUCGCUGUGAAGAUGCAGUGUACCCGCGGCAAGACGGAAAGACCCCGUGAACCUUUACUAUAGCUUGACACUGAACAUUGAGCCUUGAUGUGUAGGAUAGGUGGGAGGCUUUGAAGUGUGGACGCCAGUCUGCAUGGAGCCGACCUUGAAAUACCACCCUUUAAUGUUUGAUGUUCUAACGUGGACCCGUGAUCCGGGUUGCGGACAGUGUCUGGUGGGUAGUUUGACUGGGGCGGUCUCCUCCUAAAGAGUAACGGAGGAGCACGAAGGUUGGCUAAUCCUGGUCGGACAUCAGGAGGUUAGUGCAAUGGCAUAAGCCAGCUUGACUGCGAGCGUGACGGCGCGAGCAGGUGCGAAAGCAGGUCAUAGUGAUCCGGUGGUUCUGAAUGGAAGGGCCAUCGCUCAACGGAUAAAAGGUACUCCGGGGAUAACAGGCUGAUACCGCCCAAGAGUUCAUAUCGACGGCGGUGUUUGGCACCUCGAUGUCGGCUCAUCACAUCCUGGGGCUGAAGUAGGUCCCAAGGGUAUGGCUGUUCGCCAUUUAAAGUGGUACGCGAGCUGGGUUUAGAACGUCGUGAGACAGUUCGGUCCCUAUCUGCCGUGGGCGCUGGAGAACUGAGGGGGGCUGCUCCUAGUACGAGAGGACCGGAGUGGACGCAUCACUGGUGUUCGGGUUGUCAUGCCAAUGGCACUGCCCGGUAGCUAAAUGCGGAAGAGAUAAGUGCUGAAAGCAUCUAAGCACGAAACUUGCCCCGAGAUGAGUUCUCCCUGACCCUUUAAGGGUCCUGAAGGAACGUUGAAGACGACGACGUUGAUAGGCCGGGUGUGUAAGCGCAGCGAUGCGUUGAGCUAACCGGUACUAAUGAACCGUGAGGCUUAACCUU
Molecule: ribosomal RNA, 2901 nt
Filed under: Escherichia coli O157:H7
Lineage: Bacteria; Pseudomonadati; Pseudomonadota; Gammaproteobacteria; Enterobacterales; Enterobacteriaceae
Description: bacterial LSU rRNA
Rfam family: Bacterial large subunit ribosomal RNA
Source: RNAcentral